RNAcentral lists this ribosomal RNA (468 nucleotides) under uncultured bacterium. RNAcentral describes it as "partial 16S ribosomal RNA". It matches the Rfam family "Bacterial small subunit ribosomal RNA", at positions 28 to 507 of the family's 1533-position model. The record is from RNAcentral.
GACGAACGCUGGCGGCGUGCUUAACACAUGCAAGUCGAACGGCAAGGCCCUGCUUUUGUGGGGUGCUCGAGUGGCGAACGGGUGAGUAACACGUGAGUAACCUGCCCUUGACUUUGGGAUAACUUCAGGAAACUGGGCCUAAUACCGGAUAGGAGCUCCUGUUGCAUGGUGGGGGUUGGAUAGUUUCGGCGGUUGGGGAUGGACUCGCGGCUUAUCAGCUUGUUGGUGGGGUAGUGGCUUACCAAGGCUUUGACGGGUAGCCGGCCUGUGUGGGUGGCCGGCCACAUGGGGACUGAGAUACGGCCCAGACUCCUACGGGAGGCAGCAGUGGGGAAUAUUGCACAAUGGGCGGAAGCCUGAUGCAGCAACGCCGCGGGCGGGAUGACGGCCUGCGGGUUGUGAACCGCUUUCGCCUGUGACGAAGCGUGAGUGACGGUAAUGGGUAAAGAAGCACCGGCUAACUACGUG